RNAcentral lists this unclassified non-coding RNA (209 nucleotides) under Hevea brasiliensis (rubber tree). Lineage: Eukaryota; Viridiplantae; Streptophyta; Magnoliopsida; Malpighiales; Euphorbiaceae. The record is from RNAcentral.
GAUUUAUCUUUCUCAUACUAGACCUAAAAUAGCUUAUACUGUAAGCUUGGUGAGCCAGUAUACGCACGGUCCCCAAGAACCUCACUUAGAUGCUAUCUCCCGCAUUUUAAGAUAUUUAAAAGCUACACCUGAAAAGAAACUUCUUUUUUCAAAGUAUGGCCACUUUCAGAUAAAAGCCUUUACAAAUGCAGAUUGGGCUAGAUCUCUUG